Long non-coding RNA from Eleginops maclovinus (Patagonian blennie), 914 nucleotides. RefSeq lists it as uncharacterized. The transcript is spliced from 4 exons. NCBI's taxonomy places the organism in Eukaryota, Metazoa, Chordata, Actinopteri, Perciformes, Eleginopidae. The record is from RefSeq and is a predicted model, not a curated record.
UGUAGAUUUACUAAUGAUUGAAUUUUUCCUUCAAUAUUAGGGAUUGCCCAUCGGAGCACAGGAGUAUACAGGAGUCCAGGGGAGGCUCCGUCAUCCUCACUUGCAACAUAUCAGCGACAAAUGUAACGCAAAUCAACUGGACCAAAGGCAGUUUUCUUUUUGCAUAUUCAUUCAAACACAAUCAGACUUUUUCAAAUUUCACCUCUCACACACUGAUAGACACAACCCUACCUACAACGCUGAAUAUUUCUAAUGUUCAGCAUGAAGAUGCAGGACUCUAUAGAUGUAAUCUAGCUUACCCAGCAGGUGCAGGAUAUAUUGAGUGGAAUUUAAUGUUGUCCUGUGAACCUGAAGGAAAAGAUUCAUCGUGGUCUUUUCUAUACACACUCUCCGCUGUAAUUGGAUUGAUUCUAUGUGUUUUCACUUCAGCUGUCUGCCUCUACAGAAAACUCAAAGCCAGGAAGGCAAACCAGAAUUCAGCACAGGGGCAGAUGGAUAUGCAGUCGGACAGAGAGUUUGGCCUACCUCAAACGCAGGAAGUCACAAGCAGUAGGCACAGGAGUCAAUACAUGGAGCGGCUCAAUGCCAUCUAUGAUUGCUAAUGAGCUGAAGCCAUUUAAAUGAAGGGACACGGACAAACCAGGAGCCUCAAUGGAAACCAUCAGACGGAGGGACGACUGGUCACUGAUGCCUUUGUAUCUAACAUUUAUACAUAAAACCAGUGCUGUCACUUUAAGGACUUUUGUUUUCAGCUUUUAUUUUAUAUUUAUGGUACUCUUUGUAUUUUAAUAUGUUCUUGUAAAUAUGGUUUAUUAUUGAUGUCUUUGUUGAAUGUAUUUCUCAUCCGUCCUGAACGCCGAGCCAAUCAAAGAAAGCUGCUAAUAGUGUUGGCAAAUAAAGUUUACCCAACAGUU